AAUGAAUUUUGCAAUUGUGAAAGUUGAUUCUCCUAUUUCUUUAAAGCUAAAGGUAUGCCAAGGUUGAUCAAAAGGUGGAUGACGAUACGAUAUUACGAAGUGUGUACGUUUUAGUUUUCUUCGGGGGAUUCCGAGGACGGAAUCCUUAUAAGGGGGGUAGAAUGUAAUAUCCCAUAUUAUUAAAGUUAGAUGUGAUUAUUAUAAAUCUAUUUGUCUAAAUAUUAUUGUUGGCUUUAGUUGAAAAGCGAAUUGAUUAUGUGAAUAGUUUUAUAUGAUUAUACUUGUUCUGUGGAUUAAUAUGGAUUUUACAGAUUAUGCGUCCUCCUUCUUUCUCUGAUUCCGAGGACGGAAUCCCUAUAAGGAGGGUAGAUUGUAAUGACCCGGAUUUUUAAAAAUAUUUUUAU
This 404-nucleotide long non-coding RNA is filed under the name Daucus carota (carrot). Its description in RNAcentral is "long non-coding RNA (DCAR_LNC006751)". The record is from RNAcentral. Lineage: Eukaryota; Viridiplantae; Streptophyta; Magnoliopsida; Apiales; Apiaceae.